This is a non-coding RNA of Podarcis lilfordi (Lilford's wall lizard), 76 nucleotides long. The record is from the annotation of a GenBank genome assembly. Lineage: Eukaryota; Metazoa; Chordata; Lepidosauria; Squamata; Lacertidae.
GGAAAGGGCUGUGGCUCAGGGACAGAGCUGCUGCUUUGCAUGCAGAAGGUUCUGGGUUCGAUCCUCAACAUUUCCA